This 301-nucleotide ribosomal RNA is filed under the name uncultured bacterium. Its description in RNAcentral is "partial 16S ribosomal RNA". It matches the Rfam family "Bacterial small subunit ribosomal RNA", at positions 509 to 808 of the family's 1533-position model. The record is from RNAcentral.
CAGUAGCCGCGGGAAUACGUAGGUCCCGAGCGUUGUCCGGAUUUAUUGGGCGUAAAGCGAGCGCAGGCGGUUAGAUAAGUCUGAAGUUAAAGGCUGUGGCUUAACCAUAGUACGCUUUGGAAACUGUUUAACUUGAGUGCAAGAGGGGAGAGUGGAAUUCCAUGUGUAGCGGUGAAAUGCGUAGAUAUAUGGAGGAACACCGGUGGCGAAAGCGGCUCUCUGGCUUGUAACUGACGCUGAGGCUCGAAAGCGUGGGGAGCAAACAGGAUUAGAUACCCCUGUAGUCCCUGUCUCUUAUACA